UUUCAACAACGGAUCUCUUGGUUCCGGCAUCGAUGAAGAACGCAGCGAAAUGCGAUACGUAAUGUGAAUUGCAAAUUCAGUGAAUCAUCGAGUCUUUGAACGCACAUUGCGCCCCCUGGUAUUCCGGGGGGCAUGCCUGUCCGAGCGUCAUUGCUGCC
RNAcentral lists this ribosomal RNA (158 nucleotides) under Penicillium commune. RNAcentral describes it as "5.8S ribosomal RNA". It matches the Rfam family "5.8S ribosomal RNA". From Rfam's summary of the family: 5.8S ribosomal RNA (5.8S rRNA) is a component of the large subunit of the eukaryotic ribosome. The record is from RNAcentral. Lineage: Eukaryota; Fungi; Ascomycota; Eurotiomycetes; Eurotiales; Aspergillaceae.